CGCGUAGGUGGUUUGUUAAGUUGGAUGUGAAAGCCCCGGGCUCAACCUGGGAACUGCAUCCAAAACUGGCAAGCUAGAGUACGGUAGAGGGUGGUGGAAUUUCCUGUGUAGCGGUGAAAUGCGUAGAUAUAGGAGGAACACCAGUGGCGAAGGCGGCUACCUGGACAGAAACUGACGCUGAGGCGCGAAAGCUAGGGGAGCAAACA
RNAcentral lists this ribosomal RNA (206 nucleotides) under uncultured bacterium. RNAcentral describes it as "partial 16S ribosomal RNA". It matches the Rfam family "Bacterial small subunit ribosomal RNA", at positions 568 to 774 of the family's 1533-position model. The record is from RNAcentral.